AACGCACAUUGCGCCCCUUGGUAUUCCGGGGGGCAUGCCUGUUCGAGCGUCAUUGCAACCCUCAAGCCUAGCUUGGUAUUGGGCCUCGCCGCUAACCGGCGGGCCUUAAAAUCAGUGGCGGUGCCUCCGUAGCCCUGAGCGUAGUAAAUCUCCUCGCUUUAGGACGCGGUGGUACCUGCCAGAGACCCCCACCUCUAAGUUUGACCUCGGAUCAGGUAGGGAUACCCGCUGAACUUAA
This 238-nucleotide unclassified non-coding RNA is filed under the name uncultured fungus. Its description in RNAcentral is "sequence contains ITS2". Lineage: Eukaryota; Fungi. The record is from RNAcentral.